Molecule: non-coding RNA, 92 nt
Organism: Xylariaceae sp. FL0804
Lineage: Eukaryota; Fungi; Ascomycota; Sordariomycetes; Xylariales; Xylariaceae
Source: the annotation of a GenBank genome assembly
GACACUUUACCAUAGUGGUUAAUGGGUGAGACUUGAAUUCUUUAAGCCAUCUCAUGACUUCGGUCGCGUAGGUUCGAAUCCUGCAAGUGUCG